AUAAGAAUUUAGGUGCUUUUUUAUAAGUGAAAAGGGAAUGUGGUUAAAAUCCACAGCAGCCCCCGCUACUGUAAAUGAUGACAAACCUUAAGAUUACCACUCUUUUAAAGGGGAAGGUUAAGGGGAGAAUGAAUCAAAAGCCAGGAGACCUGCCUAAUUUUUUA
Molecule: non-coding RNA, 164 nt
Filed under: uncultured Clostridium sp.
Lineage: Bacteria; Bacillati; Bacillota; Clostridia; Eubacteriales; Clostridiaceae
Source: RNAcentral